This 402-nucleotide ribosomal RNA is filed under the name Fusobacteriota bacterium. Its description in RNAcentral is "Fusobacteria bacterium partial 16S ribosomal RNA". It matches the Rfam family "Bacterial small subunit ribosomal RNA", at positions 355 to 776 of the family's 1533-position model. The record is from RNAcentral. Lineage: Bacteria; Fusobacteriati; Fusobacteriota.
UGGGGAAUUUUGCACAAUGGGGGAAACCCUGAUGCAGCGACGCCGCGUGAUUUAGAAGGCCUUCGGGUUGUAAAAAUCUUUUCUAUGGGAAGAAAAUGACAGUACCAUAGGAAUAAGGACCGGCUAAUUACGUGCCAGCAGCCGCGGUAAUACGUAAGGUCCGAGCGUUGUCCGGAAUCAUUGGGCGUAAAGGGUACGUAGGCGGGUAAGCAAGUUAGAAGUGAAAUCCUAUAGCUCAACUAUAGUAAGCUUUUAAAACUGCUCAUCUUGAGGUAUGGAAGGGAAAGUGGAAUUCCUAGUGUGGCGGUGAAAUGCGCAGAUAUUAGGAGGAAUACCGGGGGCGAAGGCGACUUUCUGGCCAUAACCUGACGCUGAGGUACGAAGGCGUGGGUAGCAAACAGG